Molecule: ribosomal RNA, 497 nt
Filed under: uncultured bacterium
Lineage: Bacteria
Description: partial 16S ribosomal RNA
Rfam family: Bacterial small subunit ribosomal RNA
Source: RNAcentral
GACGAACGCUGGCGGCGUGCCUAAUACAUGCAAGUAGAACGCUUAAGAGAGGAGCUUGCUCUUCUUGGAUGAGUUGCGGACGGGUGAGUAACGCGUAGGUAACCUGCCUUGUAGCGGGGGAUAACUAUUGGAAACGAUAGCUAAUACCGCAUAACAAUGGAUGACACAUGUCAUUUAUUUGAAAGGGGCAAUUGCUCCACUACAAGAUGGACCUGCGUUGUAUUAGCUAGUGGGUGAGGUAAUGGCUCACCUAGGCGACGAUACAUAGCCUAGCUGAGAGGGGGAUCGGCCACACUGGGACCUGGAAACGGCCCAGACUCCUUCGGGAGGCAGCAGUAGGGAAUCUUCGGCAAUGGGGGCAACCCUGACCGAGCAAAGCCGGGGGGGUGAAGAAGGGUUUCGGAUCGUAAAGCUCUGUUGUAAGUCAAGAAAGGGUGUGAGAGUGGAAAGUUCACACUGUGACGGUAGCUUAACAGAAAGGGACGGCUAACUACGUG